UUCCGGUUGAUCCUGCCGGACCUUACUGCUAUCGGGGGAGGACUAAAACAUGCAAGUCGUGCGCCUCCAAGCUAUGAUGGAGACGCGGCGUACAGCUCAAUAACACGUGGCUAACCCACCCUUGACACGGACACAACCCCGGGAAAGUGGGGCUAAUCCCCGAUGGGAGAAGACACCUGGAAUGGGUCUUCUCCCAAAAGGCGUUUAGGCCAUGCUUCUAGAUGUCGCUCAAGGACGGGGCCGCGGCCGAUCAGGUUGUUGGUGAGGCAAUGGCUCACCAAGCCUAUAACCGGUACGGGCCGUGAGAGCGGGAGCCCGGAUAUGGGCACUGAGACAAGGGCCCAGGCCCUACGGGGCGCAGCAGUUGCGAAAACUCCGCAAUGCACGAAAGUGUGACGGGGCUACCCCGAGUGCCGUCCGCUGAGGGCGGCUUUUCCCCGGUGUAAGGAGCCGGGGGAAUAAGGAGAGGGCAAGUCUGGUGUCAGCCGCCGCGGUAAUACCAGCUCUCCGAGUGGUAGGAAUGAUUAUUGGGCUUAAAGCGUCCGUAGCUGGUCUAGCAAGUCUUCCGUUAAAUCCACCGAUUCAAUCGUUGGACUGCGGGAGAUACUGUUGGGCUAGGGGGCGAGAGAGGCCAACGGUAUUCUCGGGGUAGGGUUAAAAUCCUAUAAUCCCGGGAGGACCACCAGUGGCGAAGGCGGUCGGCUAUAACGCGCUCGACGGUGAGGGACGAAAGCUGGGGGAAGCGAACCGGAUUAGAUACCCGGGUAGUCCCAGCUGUAAACGAUGCGGGCUAGGGUGUUGGGGCGCUACUGCCGCUUCAGUGCCGCAGGGAGACCAUUAAGCUCCGCCGCCUGGGAGAGUACGGCCGCAAGGCUGAAACUUAAAGGAAUUGGCGGGGGGAGCAUCACAAGGCGUGAAGCUUGGCGGUUUAAUUGGAACUCCACGCCG
RNAcentral lists this ribosomal RNA (948 nucleotides) under uncultured archaeon. RNAcentral describes it as "bacterial SSU rRNA". It matches the Rfam family "Archaeal small subunit ribosomal RNA", at positions 1 to 920 of the family's 1478-position model. The record is from RNAcentral.